UGAGGAAUAUUGGGCAAUGGACGAAAGUCUGACCCAGCCAUGCCGCGUGCAGGAUGACGGCCCUACGGGUUGUAAACUGCUUUUGUACAGGAAGAACUACCACGACGUGUCGAGGUUUGACUGUACUGUACGAAUAAGCAUCGGCUAACUCCGUGCCAGCAGCCGCGGUAAUACGGAGGAUGCAAGCGUUAUCCGGAUUUAUUGGGUUUAAAGGGUGCGUAGGCGGGGUAGUAAGUCAGUGGUGAAAUCUUCCGGCUUAACCGGGAAACUGCCAUUGAUACUGCUUUCCUUGAGUGCAGUUGAGGUGGGCGGAAUGUGUAAUGUAGCGGUGAAAUGCUUAGAUAUUACACAGAACACCGAUUGCGUAGGCAGCUCACUAAACUGUAACUGACGCUGAGGCACGAAAGCGUGGGGAGCGAACA
This 422-nucleotide ribosomal RNA is filed under the name uncultured bacterium. Its description in RNAcentral is "bacterial SSU rRNA". It matches the Rfam family "Bacterial small subunit ribosomal RNA", at positions 355 to 774 of the family's 1533-position model. The record is from RNAcentral.